RNAcentral lists this unclassified non-coding RNA (206 nucleotides) under Hevea brasiliensis (rubber tree). Lineage: Eukaryota; Viridiplantae; Streptophyta; Magnoliopsida; Malpighiales; Euphorbiaceae. The record is from RNAcentral.
GGGGGUGAUACAGGUUGCUCUGCUUCAUCUCCUGACCCUUCUGACACUUGAUAAUCCUCUUCAUCUAUAGGAUUAUGAAUUCUAUUGGGUAAAGCAUCUUCAUUAGAGACAGAAAUGGGUAGUAUAAACAUCAUCAAGAAGGUACUCAACAAAAGAUUCUGGAAGCUCAUGAAUUAUAGUUCUGAUAGAUACAGACUUGAAUUUUG